This 492-nucleotide ribosomal RNA is filed under the name uncultured bacterium. Its description in RNAcentral is "partial 16S ribosomal RNA". It matches the Rfam family "Bacterial small subunit ribosomal RNA", at positions 29 to 507 of the family's 1533-position model. The record is from RNAcentral.
AGUGAACGCUGGCGGUAGGCCUAACACAUGCAAGUCGAACGGCAGCACAGUAAGAGCUUGCUCUUACGGGUGGCGAGUGGCGGACGGGUGAGGAAUACAUCGGAAUCUACUUUUUCGUGGGGGAUAACGUAGGGAAACUUACGCUAAUACCGCAUACGACCCACGGGUGAAAGCAGGGGAUCUUCGGACCUUGCGCGAUUGAAUGAGCCGAUGUCGGAUUAGCUAGUUGGCGGGGUAAAGGCCCACCAAGGCGACGAUCCGUAGCUGGCCUGAGAGGAUGAUCAGCCACACUGGAACUGAGACACGGUCCAGACUCCUACGGGAGGCAGCAGUGGGGAAUAUUGGACAAUGGGCGCAAGCCUGAUCCAGCCAUACCGCGUGGGUGAAGAAGGCCUUCGGGUUGUAAAGCCCUUUUGUUGGGAAAGAAAAGCAGCAGGUUAAUACCCCGCUGUUCUGACGGUACCCAAAGAAUAAGCACCGGCUAACUUCGUG